RNAcentral lists this ribosomal RNA (434 nucleotides) under uncultured bacterium. RNAcentral's name for it is "partial 16S ribosomal RNA". It matches the Rfam family "Bacterial small subunit ribosomal RNA", at positions 28 to 507 of the family's 1533-position model. The record is from RNAcentral.
GACGAACGCUGGCGGCAUGCUUAACACAUGCAAGUCGAACGGACCUUCCCGGCUUAGUGGCGGUCGGGGGGGUACCACGUGGGAACGUGCCCUUAGGUUAGGUACACCUCAGGGUAACUUGUCUUCAUACCGCAUGUGCCCUUCGCGGGUAAGAUCUCUUGCCUCUUGAGGGGCCCGCGUCUGUUUAGCUAGUUGGUUGUGGUAAUGGCUCACCAAGGCGUCGUUCAGUAGCUGGUCUGAGCGGAUGAUUUGCCACGUUGGGACUGAGACACGGCCCAAACUCCUACGGGAGGCAGCAGUGGGGAAUCUUGCGCAAUGGGCGAAAGCCUGACGAAGCCAUGCCGGGUGAAUGAGGAAGGUCGUAGGAUUGUAAAAUUCUUUCACCGGGGACGAUAAUGACGGUACCCGGAGAAGAAGCCCCGGCUAACUACGUG